This 253-nucleotide ribosomal RNA is filed under the name uncultured bacterium. RNAcentral's name for it is "partial 16S ribosomal RNA". It matches the Rfam family "Bacterial small subunit ribosomal RNA", at positions 524 to 776 of the family's 1533-position model. The record is from RNAcentral.
GACAGAGGGUGCAAACGUUGUUCGGAAUUACUGGGCGUAAAGCGUGUGUAGGCGGCCAUGUAAGUCGGAUGUGAAAGCCCCGGGCUCAACCCGGGAAGUGCACUCGAUACUGCGUGGCUUGAGUACUGGAGAGGUUGGUGGAAUUCUCGGUGUAGAGGUGAAAUUCGUAGAUAUCGAGAGGAACACCGGUGGCGAAGGCGGCCAACUGGACAGAUACUGACGCUGAGACACGAAAGCGUGGGUAGCAAACAGG